Long non-coding RNA from Poecilia latipinna (sailfin molly), 838 nucleotides. RefSeq lists it as uncharacterized. The record is from RefSeq and is a predicted model, not a curated record. Lineage: Eukaryota; Metazoa; Chordata; Actinopteri; Cyprinodontiformes; Poeciliidae. The transcript is spliced from 3 exons.
GUUCAGGCAGUAAUCAGGCCUGGGUGCGGCUUCAGAAAGCCACUUGGCGGUUAGCUACAUUCAUAGUUAGCUACAUUCACACAGAAGCAUGUUAGUUUGAAGACACGAUGGAGGACGGAGCCUGAACCUCUCAAAAUCUGUAACAAGAACACCACACACAUUUUGAUGGCUGAUUUUCUGAGCUUUCUACAAUGGUCACAGGACUCUGGGUUAGAAAGCAGCCCGUCGGAUCUGUCAACUUGGGGAAAAUUUCCAUUUUGCAGCUAACUCUGCAGCCUUUUGAUGGGCAAAUAUUUGUUUCCUCAGAAGUGAGCGUGGGCAAACCUUCCUCACAGCUCCAUAUGCUGCCAGCUGCCAAUCAAGUGGCCCAGAACCCUGAAACUAAUCGCACAGCCCCCCUCCCUCUCUGCUCUGCCUCUCCUCUUCCUGUCGUUCAGCAGGAAUCAGGGAGUGUGUGUGUGUGUGUGUGUGUGUGUGUUUAUAUAUGAAUCAGUAAAGCUGAAAUAACGACGGAUGAGUCAAAGUUAAAGGAAUAUGUUCUGUCAGUUCACUCCAAACCGUCUGUGUCGAUUUUUCCGAAUAAUUGUAUUAUUUUUUAUUAAUACUAGUAUCAAAGGAACUGAAUUGAUUUGAAUGUGUUUGGGAGCUUCAUCAGUGUUUUUGUCUGCAGUAUGCUUCUAAUUGUCUUUUGCACAGUCCAUCAAUGUUGCAUACCAACAUUUAUAAGACAAAUAAAGACAUAUUGCUAAAGUAUUCACUCCCCAGUUAACUCUUUCCACAUUUUCUUUGGCUUUAGGACCAAAAACAUGUGUGUUUUAUGUGUUUUUCACAAGUUAAA